GACGAACGCUGGCGGCGUGCUUAACACAUGCAAGUCGAACGGAAAGGCCCUGCUUUUGUGGGGUGCUCGAGUGGCGAACGGGUGAGUAACACGUGAGUAACCUGCCCUUUACUUUGGGAUAACUUCAAGCAACUGGUGCUAAUACCGGCUAGGAGCUCCUGCUGCAUGGUGGGGGUUGGAAAGUUUCGGCGGUUGGGGAUGGACUCGCGGCUUAUCAGCUUGUUGGUGGGGUCGUGGCUUACCAAGGCUUUGACGGGUAGCCGGCCUGAGAGGGUGACCGGCCACAUUGGGACUGAGAUACGGCCCAGACUCCUACGGGAGGCAGCAGUGGGGAAGAUUGCACAAUGGGCGGAAGCCUGAUGCAGCAACGCCGCGUGCGGGAUGACGGCCUUCGGGUUGUAAACCGCUUUCGCCUGUGACGAAGCGUGAGUGACGGUAAUGGGUAAAGAAGCACCGGCUAACUACGUG
Molecule: ribosomal RNA, 468 nt
Filed under: uncultured bacterium
Lineage: Bacteria
Description: partial 16S ribosomal RNA
Rfam family: Bacterial small subunit ribosomal RNA
Source: RNAcentral